AAAAAUUAAUAAAAUAAAAAUAAUAUCACGUUUGGCAGCAAAACUGUCGAUGGACUGACUAUGAAAAAAAUACGACUGCAAAGAUUCAUUUGGGGGCAACAGUUAAUAUCGGCAAACAGCACACACCAGCACGCUUCAGUUGAAAAGAUAAACAAAUAAAUAAAAGUAAUAUCAGGUUUGGCAGCGAAACUGUCGAUGGACUGACUAUGAAAAAAUACGACUGCAAGGAUUCAUUUGGGGCCAACAGUUAGUAUUGGCAGACAGCACACACCAGCACGCUACAGUUGAAAAGAUAAACAAAUAAAUAAAAGUAAUAUCAGGUUUGGCAGGGAAAUUGUCGAUGGACUGACUAUGAAAAAAUACGACUGCAAGGAUUUAUUUGGGGCCAACAGUUAGUAUCGGCAGACAGCACACACCAGCACGCUGCGGUUGAAAAAAAUAAAUAAGUAAAAGUAAUAUCAGGUUUGGCAGUGAAAUUGUUGUUGCUAGAAAUUUUGUGUGUGUGUAGGAAGCCAUAUAAUUUGUGUUUCAUUUCUGGACACAAAAAAAAUGCUGAAAACUUAUUCCUUUGUUGUUUCUUCCCUUUCUUUUUCUUCUCUUUACUUGGUUAGUCCAGCAUCAUUCAAUCAUUCAGUUACUCCUCCUCUUUCUCUCUCUUCCUCCUCCUCUCAUUCUUUUCUUCUCUUCUUCUUUUCUUUCUUCCUCAAUUUCUGUUACUCCUCUCCUCUCCUCUCCUUUCCUCAUUCAUUCAUUCAUUCAGUAACUCUUCCUCCUUCUCUUCCACUUCCUCAUCCAUCCUCUUCCUCGUGCAAAACCCCCAAAACUGUGUACUGAACAAUAUGACAACCUGAGUCGCCAAGCAAGCCAGGCAGCUCAGUGACAACCCUUGGUCCCAACACUCAAGAUGAUUUACAACACUGCUGCUACACUGUAACUCACCACACACCGUCAUGACUCAAGGGAAGAGUUUGCGAUGUUGUAGAAAUAUCGCAACUCCUAACCACCAUACGAUAUCUUUAAACAUUUCAGCACCCAGUCUCACAAGGCUUUCAUAGGAUUCCUGGGUAUUUCCAUGGGUAGUUUUAUGACCCUUUGACGAAGCACCUGUAACAUGAACUGAUAUUUUUAAACAUUUCAGCGCCCAGUUUCAUGUAUUUGACAAGGCUUUCGUGGGAUUUCUCUGUAUUUCCGUGGGUACUUACUUUUAUGACCCUGGUGUUAGUUUGACAAAGUUUCUGUAACAUGAACCGACAUUUUUAAACAUUACAGCAUCCAGUCUCACAAGGCUUUCAUAGGAUUUCUGGGUAUUUCCAUGGGUAGUUUUAUGUCCCUGGUGGUAGUCUGACGAAGCUUCUGUAACAUGAACUGAUAUUUUUAAACAUUUCAGCGCCCAGUGUCAUGUAUUUGGCAAGGCUUUCAUGGGAUUUCUGGGUAUUUCCACGAUUACUUACUUUUAUGACCCUGGUGUUAGUUUGACAAAGUUUCUGUAACAUGAACUGGUAUUUUUAAACAUUACAGCACCCAGUCCCACAAGGCUUUUGGAGGAUUUCUGGGUAUUUCCAUGGGUAGUUUUAUGACCCUGGUGUUAGUUUGACUAAGUUUCUGUGACAUGAACCGGUAUUUUUAAACAUUAUGGUACCCAGUCUCACAAGGCUUUCAUGGGAUUUCUCUGUAUUUCCGUGGGUACUUACUUUUAUGACCCUGGUGUUAGUUUGACAAAGUUUCUGUGACAUGAACCGGUAUUUCUAAACAUUUUGGCGCCAAGUCUCACAAGGCUUUCAUAGGAUUUCUGGGUAUUUCCAUGGGUUGUUUUAUGACCCUGGUGGUAGUCUGACAAAGCUUCUCUGACAUGAACUUCCAAAACUGCUCAUUAGAACCAGAUGAAUCUCUCUCUCGGCCUUUGGAAGCAUCUGAGAAUACCGACCAAUAUCUCUAGUUCUCUUUAUAUCUCACAAGACUAAUUUACUUCAACCAACUCCAAAGCCUUGUCAGCCAUUACGAGUCCCUAAAAUUAGCAGACAGAGAGGCCAUACUAAACGAGGACUCCAACGACAUCAUCUUACGCAUGUUCCUGUCGUAUACAAACCCUCGUAUGGACACACCAGAAGCACACAAACACAGAUUUUUCACACGUACCGGCAAAGAACGAGAGACACACAAGAAAACAGAUUAAACCAGGAAAAUCAUAGACCCAGAGAGCACCAACAACCAGCCAAGCAAUGCAAGAGCGAGGGAGCGAGGGAGUGAGUGAAUGAAGCAAGAGAUGGAUCAGUAAGUGGAAGAGUAAGAGGAGGAGUAACUGAAUGAAUGACAAAAGGAAAGGAGAG
Molecule: long non-coding RNA, 2327 nt
Organism: Eriocheir sinensis (Chinese mitten crab)
Lineage: Eukaryota; Metazoa; Arthropoda; Malacostraca; Decapoda; Varunidae
Exons: 2
Source: RefSeq, a predicted model, not a curated record